GACGAACGCUGGCGGCGUGCUUAACACAUGCAAGUCGAACGGAAAGGCCCUGCUUUUGUGGGGUGCUCGAGUGGCGAACGGGUGAGUAACACGUGAGUAACCUGCCCUUGACUUUGGGAUAACUUCAGGAAACUGGGGCUAAUACCGGAUAGGAGCUCCUGCUGCAUGGUGGGGGUUGGAAAGUUUCGGCGGUUGGGGAUGGACUCGCGGCUUAUCAGCUUGUUGGUGGGGUAGUGGCUUACCAAGGCUUUGACGGGUAGCCGGCCUGAGAGGGUGACCGGACACAUUGGGAAUGAGAUACGGCCAAGACUCCUACGGGAGGCAGCAGUGGGGAAUAUUGCACAAUGGGCGGAAGCCUGAUGCAGCAACGCCGCGUGCGGGAUGACGGACUUCGGGUUGUAAACCGCUUUCGCCUGUGACGAAGCGUGAGUGACGGUAAUGGGUAAAGAAGCACCGGCUAACUACGUG
RNAcentral lists this ribosomal RNA (468 nucleotides) under uncultured bacterium. Its description in RNAcentral is "partial 16S ribosomal RNA". It matches the Rfam family "Bacterial small subunit ribosomal RNA", at positions 28 to 507 of the family's 1533-position model. The record is from RNAcentral.